AUGGAGGGAGCCGCAACUUCGGCCAUGGUGGCAGGAGCGGCCCAUCUGCUCGUUCCUCUCUCUGACGGGUCAAAUUUGCCUCCUUAUAAGCUGAUUGUGACAUAUGGGGCGCGCUCUUACAAGAAUUACAAGGCUGAACUGUGCACCGUGUCUUCUUGGAGCUGGGAUAUCCAUGUAGAGAGGCAGACUACUUACAAUCAACUUUUGGGUCUCCUGCAAAAUAAAUAUCCUUGGGGAAAUGAUGAGGGUGUUGUGCUUUCAAGCUGGAAUAGUAGCAGGAAAUAUUUUGUGCUAGUUCGCAACGAUGAAGAUGUGGUGAACAUGUAUGAUGGCAAUGAGGAAGACAAGAUUGUUAAGAUACUUGUCCAGUUCUGCAGGAAUGGCGAGGAGGAGGAGUUUGCUCACAGUUUGCUUCAACCAAUCCCACCUUCUUCUGCGGCAAAGGAAAUGUGCAAGCCCAUAGUGGAUGAUUUAAAUCAAAAUUCUCACUAUGAGUAUGAGAUACCCGAGGAGAACUUGACAAGCCAACAGAGAUCUAAAGAGGGCUAUGAAGGCUAUGAAGGAGAGGAUCAUGUAGGAAUAGAUGAGGAGAACCAGUACCUGAAGGCUUAG
RNAcentral lists this ribosomal RNA (612 nucleotides) under Triticum aestivum (bread wheat). RNAcentral's name for it is "partial small subunit ribosomal RNA". Lineage: Eukaryota; Viridiplantae; Streptophyta; Magnoliopsida; Poales; Poaceae. The record is from RNAcentral.